AGGGUUCGAUCAUGGCUCAGAACGAACGCUGGCGGCAUGCCUCAUACAUGCAAGUCGAACGAGAUCUUCGGAUCUAGUGGCGCACGGGUGAGUAACAUGUGGGAAUCUACCUAAAGGUUCGGAAUAACUGCGGGAAACUGUAGCUAAUACCGGAUGUGUCUGCAAAGAGAAAGAUUUAUCGCCUUUAGAUGAGCCCGCACUAGAUUAGCUAGUUGGUGAGGUAAUUGCUCCACCAAGGCUACGAUCUAUAGCUGAUUUGAGAGGAUGAUCAGCCACACUGGGACUGAGACACGGCCCAGACUCCUACGGGAGGCAGCAGUAGGGAAUAUUGGACAAUGGGGGAAACCCUGAUCCAGCAAUGCCGCGUGAGUGAAGAAGGCCCUCGGGUUGUAAAACUCUUUCAUCAAUGAUGAUAAUGACAUUAGUUGAAGAAGAAGCUCCGGCUAACUUCGUGCCAGCAGCCGCGGUAAUAC
This 473-nucleotide ribosomal RNA is filed under the name uncultured bacterium. RNAcentral's name for it is "bacterial SSU rRNA". It matches the Rfam family "Bacterial small subunit ribosomal RNA", at positions 8 to 526 of the family's 1533-position model. The record is from RNAcentral.